AGGGAUCAUUACUGAGUGAGGGCCUUCGGGCUCGACCUCCAACCCUUUGUGAACACAACUCGUUGCUUCGGGGGCGACCCUGCCGUUUCGACGGCGAGCGCCCCCGGAGACCAUCAAACACUGCAUCUUUGCGUCGGAGUUUAAGUAAAUUAAACAAAACUUUCAACAACGGAUCUCUUGGUUCUGGCAUCGAUGAAGAACGCAGCGAAAUGCGAUAAGUAAUGUGAAUUGCAGAAUUCAGUGAAUCAUCGAAUCUUUGAACGCACAUUGCGCCCUUUGGUAUUCCGAAGGGCAUGCCUGUUCGAGCGUCAUUUCACCACUCAAGCCUGGCUUGGUAUUGGGCGCCGCGGUCAAUCCGCGCGCCUCAAAGUCUCCGGCUGAGCUGUCCGUCUCUAAGCGUUGUGAUUUCAUUAAUCGCUUCGGAGUACGGGCGGCCGCGGCCGUUAAAUCUUUCACAAGGUUGACCUCGGAUCAGGUAGGGAUACCCGCUGAACUUAA
RNAcentral lists this ribosomal RNA (498 nucleotides) under Sphaerulina westendorpii. RNAcentral describes it as "eukaryotic LSU rRNA". The stretch from base 158 to 311 matches the Rfam family "5.8S ribosomal RNA". Lineage: Eukaryota; Fungi; Ascomycota; Dothideomycetes; Mycosphaerellales; Mycosphaerellaceae. The record is from RNAcentral.